AUGGCCAUCUUUCUUCGCACAACUGCAUCAGAAGGAGGAGUAAGAAUGGAUAUUGGGUGUUUGCAAGAUGGCUGCCUGAUGCCCUCUCUUUGAAUGCUCCUCAGGCCCACACCCACAGGAACAAGAGAACAGCCAUGCAGAUGCCUGCACCUCAGAUGGAGAAACACUCAGGUCUGUUUCAGAUGACUUCGCAAAGCCAACCUGGAAGGAGACAUUUCCCUUCUUCAGAACACACAGCACUUCGUUCCUCUGGCUUCUGUGACCAUCAGCAAACGGGUGUGUGCUUGUAUUAGACUUAGUCCUUGGGUCCCUUUAGGCAGGCAUGGUCUUGUACUUAGCCCUGCCCUGUCACAUUAUAUUUGCUUGGUAAAUAUUCAUGGAAUUCAACUGGAAAUUCCCACGGGGGAAGAGAGGACAGAUAGACACCAAGCACAAUACAUUUUAAUAAA
Long non-coding RNA from Pteropus alecto (black flying fox), 449 nucleotides. RefSeq lists it as uncharacterized. The transcript is spliced from 3 exons. Lineage: Eukaryota; Metazoa; Chordata; Mammalia; Chiroptera; Pteropodidae. The record is from RefSeq and is a predicted model, not a curated record.